This 642-nucleotide ribosomal RNA is filed under the name uncultured bacterium. RNAcentral's name for it is "bacterial SSU rRNA". It matches the Rfam family "Bacterial small subunit ribosomal RNA", at positions 143 to 803 of the family's 1533-position model. The record is from RNAcentral.
AUAACAGUUGGAAACGGCUGCUAAUACCGCAUAAGCGCACAGCAUCGCAUGAUGCAGUGUGAAAAACUCCGGUGGUAUAAGAUGGACCCGCGUUGGAUUAGCUAGUUGGUGAGGUAACGGCCCACCAAGGCGACGAUCCAUAGCCGACCUGAGAGGGUGACCGGCCACAUUGGGACUGAGACACGGCCCAAACUCCUACGGGAGGCAGCAGUGGGGAAUAUUGCACAAUGGGCGAAAGCCUGAUGCAGCGACGCCGCGUGAGCGAAGAAGUAUUUCGGUAUGUAAAGCUCUAUCAGCAGGGAAGAUAAUGACGGUACCUGACUAAGAAGCACCGGCUAAAUACGUGCCAGCAGCCGCGGUAAUACGUAUGGUGCAAGCGUUAUCCGGAUUUACUGGGUGUAAAGGGAGCGCAGGCGGUGCGGCAAGUCUGAUGUGAAAGCCCGGGGCUCAACCCCGGUACUGCAUUGGAAACUGUCGUACUAGAGUGUCGGAGGGGUAAGCGGAAUUCCUAGUGUAGCGGUGAAAUGCGUAGAUAUUAGGAGGAACACCAGUGGCGAAGGCGGCUUACUGGACGAUAACUGACGCUGAGGCUCGAAAGCGUGGGGAGCAAACAGGAUUAGAUACCCUGGUAGUCCACGCCGU